AUGCCUCGGCCAAGUGGUGGGGGUGUUCAUGGCCAUGUCCCUGGUCAUGGUGCUGAUUCUGGGAAUGCAGCCGCUGCUGUUGUCCCUGGUCGGGCUGCUGGUCCUGGGUUCACCGCCACUCCUAGGCGUGCGGCGGUCCCUGGGAUUGCUAGACGUUAUGUGCCACGUCAGCCUGUUGGGUGUCCUCCUCGAAACCGUACAAGUGAUGGCUGGUUCCCAUUUCCGAGCUUGACCGUGGCUGCGGUAAAUCGCAGAAAACGGAAAAUGUGCGUUGAGUUUCGGCGCGCUCGAUAUGAAGAACAUGUCGUUGAUGGGCCUUUGCCGAAGGAUUGGAAUGGUUUCUCGGUUUAUGGGAGUUUAGAGCUGACCGGGGUAGACCGCAACAGACGGAAAAGACGGAAAGUGUCAAUUAAAUUGCGACGUCCUGGAUGCGAAGAUUGUUGUCCAAGGGCCUAUGCCGAAGGAUUGGCAAGGUUUCUCGGUCAAGUUUGCCGAGUCCCUUAA
Molecule: ribosomal RNA, 504 nt
Filed under: Triticum aestivum (bread wheat)
Lineage: Eukaryota; Viridiplantae; Streptophyta; Magnoliopsida; Poales; Poaceae
Description: partial small subunit ribosomal RNA
Source: RNAcentral